RNAcentral lists this ribosomal RNA (460 nucleotides) under uncultured bacterium. RNAcentral describes it as "partial 16S ribosomal RNA". It matches the Rfam family "Bacterial small subunit ribosomal RNA", at positions 338 to 795 of the family's 1533-position model. The record is from RNAcentral.
CCUACGGGAGGCAGCAGUGAGGAAUAUUGGUCAAUGGACGAGAGUCUGAACCAGCCAAGUAGCGUGAAGGAUGACUGCCCUAUGGGUUGUAAACUUCUUUUAUAUGGGAAUAAAAUGUUCCACGUGUGGGCUUUUGUAUGUACCAUAUGAAUAAGGAUCGGCUAACUCCGUGCCAGCAGCCGCGGUACUACGGAGGAUCCGAGCGUUAUCCGGAUUUAUUGGGUUUAAAGGGAGCGUAGGUGGAUUGUUAAGUCAGUUGUGAAAGUUUGCGGCUCAACCGUAGAAUUGCAGUUGAAACUGGCAGGCUUGAGUACAGUAGAGGUGGGCGGAAUUCGUGGUGUAGCGGUGAAAUGCUUAGAGAUGACGAAGAACUCCGAGUGCGAAGGCAGCUCACUGGACUGCAACUGACACUGAGGCGCGAAAGUGUGGGUAUCAAACAGGAUUAGAUACCCCUGUAGUC